RNAcentral lists this ribosomal RNA (253 nucleotides) under uncultured bacterium. Its description in RNAcentral is "partial 16S ribosomal RNA". It matches the Rfam family "Bacterial small subunit ribosomal RNA", at positions 524 to 776 of the family's 1533-position model. The record is from RNAcentral.
UACGUAGGGUGCAAGCGUUAAUCGGAAUUACUGGGCGUAAAGCGUGCGCAGGCGGUUAUGUAAGACAGAUGUGAAAUCCCCGGGCUCAACCUGGGAACUGCAUUUGUGACUGCAUGGCUAGAGUGCGGCAGAGGGGGAUGGAAUUCCGCGUGUAGCAGUGAAAUGCGUAGAUAUGCGGAGGAACACCGAUGGCGAAGGCAAUCCCCUGGGCCUGCACUGACGCUCAUGCACGAAAGCGUGGGGAGCAAACAGG